Long non-coding RNA from Mesocricetus auratus (golden hamster), 4065 nucleotides. RefSeq lists it as uncharacterized. Lineage: Eukaryota; Metazoa; Chordata; Mammalia; Rodentia; Cricetidae. The transcript is spliced from 5 exons. The record is from RefSeq and is a predicted model, not a curated record.
CCCACCCCUGCGCGCCCCCCGCGCGCGCACGCACGCACUCACUCGCUAGCUGCCUUGCACUGCUGGCGAACCGGGAGCCUAGCUGCGAUCAGCGGCGUCUGCCGAAUGAAGUCACCACAGCCGUGGGGCCACGGUGCCCUAGGGCAGCGGCUGUGCGCCGGCGGGCAGGGAAGGAGAGGACUGCCGCGAGCUCCGCCAGCCCCAGAGCUUAGCGCACCCGCGGCUCCACCUGAUCUCGACGGGGGCGCUGGGCAGCCCGGAGGAGGAGGCCAAGCGCCCAGUCUGCGGCGCUUUCGGGUGGACGCUCCCUCCCCUGAGGCCUUGCUCGCGCCGCCCAGCGCUCUGCGGCCGAUCCGCCCUGGGUGCUAGUCCGGGAGCGAGUGCUCGCACCAGCAAGGACAGAGGGUUGUCCUCGGCACAAGCAAAUGCCAGGAGGCCAACUCGAGUUCCUUCCUCGCGGCUGCGGUGGGCAGCGUUCGCCACAGCCUCUGUUUAUUUCGGUUUCCUAAGGCUGGUCUGCAGUGAUGUCAACUCCCCCCCCCCAAAAAAAAACCGGUAGCAAGCUUGUCCUUUCUUUAGUUAUAAUACCGUCAUCCUCUGGAUCACAGAGUUAAAAGUUCAGCAAGAUCACCAACAGGUUAUUAGGUUGAAGGUCAUUUUUGAUUCUGCUUUCUCAGCUACUCUUGAGUUGGGUGACCCCUGGACCUGUGAACGGCCACAUGCAUGCUCUGGGAAGGCCCUCUCUAAAACCCACUUGGAACAAAAGUCUUUUGUCAGGACUUUAGGUAGGUGUGAUAUAAAAGAAGAGGAAGCUGUGAAAAUGCUAGCCAAAGCUGUAACAUAAAUAGAAUUAAGAAGGAGGGUUUGAGGGUAGAGUCAGACAAGGCUUUACCAUGUCUCUAUUUAUUUUCUAUUUGCAGUUAAACUCCAUAGUUGAGACCAUUUUAUUAAAAAAAAAUCUCAAUACCAAAUAUGUGCCCACCAGUAGUUUAGUGACAAGAAUGCAAAUACUUUUGUGCUACUCAGAAUAGGGGUGAGAAGGCCAUCAGCUACCCAGUCACCCCAACUGGGUGACAGUAAUUGUGGUUUUGGAAUAAGAAGGGAACUAAUUGCCCUUGCCUCAUCUCCUCUUUUUUUGAUAGAGGUGUUUUUUAUGCAUAAAACAAAGCAAAAACAAACAGACCAAAAAAAUGAAACAAAACAAAAAUUUUAAAAAAGCCCAGGAGGCUAUAGCUUACAGGAGCAUAUUUAAUUAUUUCAACGAUUGUUAUCCUUCAGGCUCUCAGGCAAAACCUGGAGGUUGAAUACCGACCAGCCAGCAGCUUUCCAAUAAAGUGCAGUAUUAUUGCAGUAGACUUUGUAAUACAAUUUAUGCUGUCAUUCAUAAAUAACAAUGCCAUAUGUCAACAAUAUUGCUUACACAAGUAAAACCAUCAAUGUGUCACUAUUUGAUUUAUUUCAACAGCUUUUUCAAAUAUUGAAAUGUAGAUACUGAAGAGGUGUUUAAUGAGGGAACACCCAAAUUUUGAAAUAAAUACAUUGAAACUUCCGCUUGCUUCUUUAUCUGAUUUCGAGGGGGGGAAGAAACCAAGGAAAGUCCAUCUCAGGCCUAAAAUAAUAAAAAAAAAAUUAGGCUUCUGUGUAAAUCUUGGCCGUGUAAAAAACGUUUUGUGGCUAUUACUUGGAAUUUCAGAGCAUUUUUUAGGACACAACCGUGGGUUUCUCAAGAAAUCCCCAAACCUAGUGGUCAAAUAAAGGUCGAAGGCCUUUCUCAGACAGCCUCUACCUCUGACUGUAAAAAUAAUUUUGAACCAAAUUGGGAAUGCUUAACUACAGGCAGAUUUCGCACAAUUUAUCUUUAGAACUGUAAAAGUAAGCUGGGUUUUUUCCCCCAACAGCUUGUCAAUGCAAAGGUCAAGUGGAUACAGGAUGGGGGGGCAGUUCUUCACUAUCCAAAGGAUUCAGACAACAAGACACACCCCCACACCUUCCCAAUCCAGGGUCUUAGUAUCAGGAACAGUCUGUGACUUUUGUCUUCCCAUCUCCACCGUGCCCAAAUAAACCUCAGCAUAAAUUACUUUUUUUUUUUUUUUUGGUACUCCUCGCACCACACGUGUCCGUGGAGCCUGAAGAUUGUGAAUGAGUUCAGGAGGGCGCCGGAAAGAGACAGUCCUCAAAGAGAUGCUCACGGGGCUGCGAGUUGCCACCCGGACGAUUUUGAGCACCCAGAAUGAAGAAGAUCUGCUGGUUCGCUUGCCUUUCUGGCUCCGGCUUGUAGACAACUCUGGGUGAAGUACCACCACCACCACCAUCCUCUCGCCGGCUGCCAGUUCCCACCCUGCGCGCCUUAAGCACCCCUUGGCAACCCAGCCCAGGUUCAAUCGUCCUUCACCAGGAGUUCCGUGGGCCGCUUCGCCCUUGAACCCGCCUCUGGCUGAACCCAAAAGGCCCUCGACUGCACAAAUCCGCUCCGCACCCAGCCCUUCCGCGAGGAGGCCGCCCCUCAGAAACCACGCGGGGACUGGCGAGUCGUAAAAGCAAAUUGCAGGGGCAAUAAAAAAAAAGGCAUCCCGGCGGGUCUCCCCAGUUACUUUCUUGUCCACCCCACCGUCCCCCAAGUGUCCCCCCCCUUCUUCGCCCGCCCGCCUGGAGAAACAAUCAAACAAAGGCUCAAAAGCCAGGAAAUGUCCAAUUCACUUCCCUUAGAGUUUAUUAAUUGCCCACACCCAUCGUAGGAAACUUGACUGUGUUGAGAGAGAGGGGCACGGGAAGGCACCUGGAGCUGGGAGACGCUGCCCUCCCUCCCGACAGCGGGAAGCCGGCCACAGCAUCCCCAGGCGCCAAGUUCUGCGGCCUUUAGGCGGCUCAGCAGCCGCGUGGCCGUCGGGUUCCGGCCAGCUGGUGGUUGGCUGCGCCUUCCCACCUCCCCGAGCCUUUGUUUGGGGGCCUGGAAAAGAGGUUGGGGUUACUGGAGCAAACGUGAGCUCUGUAAAUUUACGGCCGCCAAAGCCCCGGUUGCCUCCAGCACCGGUAUUUCCAAGGCUGGCUUGUAUCGCUGCCUCCAUACAAGAACCUCUGCACCCGAAAGUGCAGAUCAGGGCUUGAGUGUUGGGGAAGUGGCCCUGAAGACACCGUCCUCAGAACAGGGUCACAAUCCACGGGGAAAAAGGAAGGAACUAAGCACGAAUGCAUCUAUUACUCCCUGCUUUGGAGACCAGCACAUUAUUCUCUCCAAUACCCUGGAAAUUGUUUAUUUAGGAAGUGUGACACAGUUAUUGCGGCCUUAGAAAGUCGGGAUUUAAGGGGGUUAGGGGUUGGCUCCCAAACAGCUUGAAAAAGAAACAGCGCACCUGGGGUCAGGCGGGUCAUCACAAUAACAAAAAGCGCGUCUACAAAAUAAAAAGCCCCUUUUAUAAAGAAAGGCAAUCCCGGAAAUCCACAGCGAGCCUUCCUGAGGACCAAGAAGCUAGGCCUAUUCUCAGGUUUAAUUGGCAGGAGGUUUAUUGGCGCCUUAUUGGUGUUGAUUGAAAUUUUGCUCCCUUGUCCUUUCUUUCAAGAAUUAGCAUCUCAAAUCGAUUUACCUGAGUCAAUUAUCUUUUUAGGGUCUGAGUUUGGUCAUAAAUUUGAAUAUUCAUUAAACUCACUUCGUAAAUAUUCCCUUUCCAGUCACCACCCAAAUCUCUGCUAUUACCAGAGAAAGUGUUUUCUCUCCUCUCUUUCUUUUUUCUUUCUUUCCUUUUCUUUCAUUUUUCCUAGGUCUCCCAUAAAAAGAAAUUGAUCAGGGAGCUAUAUUUGAAUUAAGACAUAUUAAAUCGAUGACAGAUACAUACCAUGCUGUGUUUAACAAGAGUUGUACAAGGAGGCGGGUUCCAGAUUCCACACGGGUCUGCUGUAGCGUUACCCACAUUUUUACAGCCUUUCCUUCAUGCCUCCAUCCAUUAAACCAUUAAAUUUCAGCAAUUCAAUAAAACAAAGCAGUUAUAAUUCUGACGAAAAGCCAUUUUGAAGGGGGUGGGGUACCCAUUUUAUUGCACAAUAAAAUUGCUCAAAGGUCUAUAUUAUAAA